AAAGAAAUUCAAUAUAAAGCUCCUCUUUCAAUUAAGAAAAAUAAUGAACAACUUCACAAUACGAUUUAAAGCUCCAUCGAUUAAUUCAAACAAUUAUCAAGAAUCGAAGUCCUAAUUAAGUUAUCAAUACACCAUAUCUGUCAACUCCCUAAGAGAAAUUACUCCACAACAAUGGAAAAUUUAUCUAAGGUUUAAAGACAUAGAAAACAUCAAUGAUAAUGAUUCGAUACAAACUCUCGUAUUGCACCGAUUGUUUGUCGAAUUCUUGAUAAAUUCUUGUGUCUUCUUGCCUUAGUUGCUGCUCAAAUCCUUCGCAGGUCAAAAGUCCCUUCAAAAACAUAUUUUUGGUAUAUUUAUACCGUGUAAAAGUGGGUCCGAAAGAAACUACCAUUUCCAACCCGAAACAGAAAAAUACUCUGGAAAAAAUGCAGAGGCGCGCCGUACCUAGCGUCGCACCAUACGGCACGCUUGUGGGGAUUAUCAGAGAGCUU
RNAcentral lists this long non-coding RNA (491 nucleotides) under Nicotiana tabacum (common tobacco). RNAcentral's name for it is "long non-coding RNA (NTAB_LNC013588)". The record is from RNAcentral. Lineage: Eukaryota; Viridiplantae; Streptophyta; Magnoliopsida; Solanales; Solanaceae.